This 550-nucleotide ribosomal RNA is filed under the name uncultured bacterium. RNAcentral's name for it is "bacterial SSU rRNA". It matches the Rfam family "Bacterial small subunit ribosomal RNA", at positions 355 to 896 of the family's 1533-position model. The record is from RNAcentral.
UAGGGAAUCUUCGGCAAUGGACGGAAGUCUGACCGAGCAACGCCGCGUGAGUGAAGAAGGUUUUCGGAUCGUAAAGCUCUGUUGUAAGAGAAGAACGAGUGUGAGAGUGGAAAGUUCACACUGUGACGGUAUCUUACCAGAAAGGGACGGCUAACUACGUGCUAGCAGCCGCGGUAAUACGUAGGUCCCGAGCGUUGUCCGGAUUUAUUGGGCGUAAAGCGAGCGCAGGCGGUUUAAUAAGUCUGAAGUUAAAGGCAGUGGCUUAACCAUUGUUCGCUUUGGAAACUGUUAAACUUGAGUGCAGAAGGGGAGAGUGGAAUUCCAUGUGUAGCGGUGAAAUGCGUAGAUAUAUGGAGGAACACCGGUGGCGAAAGCGGCUCUCUGGUCUGUAACUGACGCUGAGGCUCGCAAGCGUGGGGAGCGAACAGGAUUAGAUACCCUGGUAGUCCACGCCGUAAACGAUGAGUGCUAGGUGUUGGAUCCUUUCCGGGAUUCAGUGCCGCAGCUAACGCAUUAAGCACUCCGCCUGGGGAGUACGACCGCAAGGUUG